GUCCAUGGAGCUUGCUCCGGAAGAUCUAGUGGCGAACGGGUGCAUAACACGUGAGAAACCUGCCUCAGUCUCUGGGAUAACAGUUGGAAACGACUGCUAAUACCGGAUGCCGUCACACCAUCACAUGGUGGAGUGACGAAAGAUUUAUCGGAUUGAGAGGGUCUCGCGGCCUAUCAGCUAGUUGGAGAGGUAACGGCUCACCAAGGCAUCGACGGGUAGCUGGUCUGAGAGGAUGAUCAGCCACACUGGGACUGAGACACGGCCCAGACUCCUACGGGAGGCAGCAGUGGGGAAUCUUGCACAAUGGGCGAAAGCCUGAUGCAGCAACGCCGCGUGCGGGAAGAAGGCCCUAGGG
RNAcentral lists this ribosomal RNA (355 nucleotides) under uncultured bacterium. Its description in RNAcentral is "bacterial SSU rRNA". It matches the Rfam family "Bacterial small subunit ribosomal RNA", at positions 69 to 422 of the family's 1533-position model. The record is from RNAcentral.